Molecule: microRNA precursor, 147 nt
Filed under: Phaseolus vulgaris (common bean)
Lineage: Eukaryota; Viridiplantae; Streptophyta; Magnoliopsida; Fabales; Fabaceae
Description: pre miRNA MIR164
Rfam family: MIR164 microRNA precursor family
Source: RNAcentral
GUUAGCAAGAUGGAGAAGCAGGGCACGUGCAACACUAACUCAGGGGUCUGAACUCAGAAAAUUCUCACAUUCUUUUCUGUUAUAGAGACCACAUAUUUGCUGCAGCGAGUUAGUCCUUCAUGUGCCCCUCUUCCCCAUCAUGACAAC